UACGUAGGUCCCGAGCGUUGUCCGGAUUUAUUGGGCGUAAAGCGAGCGCAGGUGGUUUAUUAAGUCUGGUGUAAAAGGCAGUGGCUCAGCCAUUGUAUGCAUUGGAAACUGGUAGACUUGAGUGCAGGAGAGGAGAAUGGAAUUCCAUGUGUAGCGGUGAAAUGCGUAGAUAUAUGGAGGAACACCGGUGGCGAAAGCGGCUCUCUGGCCUGUAACUGACACUGAGGCUCGAAAGCGUGGGGAGCAAACAGG
Molecule: ribosomal RNA, 252 nt
Filed under: uncultured bacterium
Lineage: Bacteria
Description: partial 16S ribosomal RNA
Rfam family: Bacterial small subunit ribosomal RNA
Source: RNAcentral